GUGGGGAAUCUUGCACAAUGGGCGAAAGCCUGAUGCAGCGACGCCGCGUGGGGGACGAAGGCCCUCGGGUUGUAAACCCCUUUCGGCAGGGAAGAAGCGCAAGUGACGGUACCUGCAGAAGAAGCUCCGGCUAACUACGUGCCAGCAGCCGCGGUAAGACGUAGGGAGCGAGCGUUGUCCGGAUUCAUUGGGCGUAAAGCGCGCGUAGGCGGUUUGGUAAGUCGGAUGUGAAAUCCCGAGGCUCAACCUCGGGACUGCAUCCGAUACUGCCCGACUAGAGGUAGGUAGGGGAGAUCGGAAUUCCUGGUGUAGCGGUGAAAUGCGCAGAUACCAGGAGGAACACCGGUGGCGAAGGCGGAUCUCUGGGCCUUACCUGACGCUGAGGCGCGAAAGCUAGGGGAGCGAACAGGAUUAGAAACCCGUGUAGUCC
Molecule: ribosomal RNA, 430 nt
Filed under: uncultured bacterium
Lineage: Bacteria
Description: bacterial SSU rRNA
Rfam family: Bacterial small subunit ribosomal RNA
Source: RNAcentral